AUGGCUCAGAUUGAACGCUGGCGGCGUGCCUAACACAUGCAAGUCGAGCGGCAGCGGGCCCGCAAGGGUGCCGGCGAGCGGCGGACGGGUGAGCAAUACAUAGGAAUCUGCCUCAGAGCGGGGGAUAGCCAGGGGAAACCCUGAUUAAUACCGCAUGAUGUCGAGAGACCAAAGUGGGGGACCGUAAGGCCUCACACUCUGAGAUGAGCCUAUGUCGGAUUAGCUAGUUGGCGGGGUAACGGCCCACCAAGGCGACGAUCCGUAGCUGGUCUGAGAGGACGAUCAGCCACACCGGAACUGAGACACGGUCCGGACUCCUACGGGAGGCAGCAGUGGGGAAUAUUGGACAAUGGGCGAAAGCCUGAUCCAGCGACGCCGCGUGGGUGAAGAAGGCCUUCGGGUUGUAAAGCCCUUUAAGCCGGGACGAAAAAGCUACACCUAACACGUGUGGCCUUGACGGUACCGGAAGAAUAAGCACCGGCUAACUCUGUGCCAGCAGCCGCGGUAAUACAGAGGGUGCAAGCGUUAAUCGGAUUUACUGGGCGUAAAGCGUGUGUAGGUGGCCGCGUAAGUCGGUUGUGAAAUCCCUGGGCUCAACCUGGGAAUUGCAGCCGAUACUGCAUGGCUCGAGUUCGGUAGAGGGCGGCGGAAUUCCCGGUGUAGCGGUGAAAUGCGUAGAU
RNAcentral lists this ribosomal RNA (680 nucleotides) under uncultured bacterium. Its description in RNAcentral is "bacterial SSU rRNA". It matches the Rfam family "Bacterial small subunit ribosomal RNA", at positions 19 to 695 of the family's 1533-position model. The record is from RNAcentral.